Molecule: ribosomal RNA, 232 nt
Filed under: uncultured Actinomycetales bacterium
Lineage: Bacteria; Bacillati; Actinomycetota; Actinomycetes; Actinomycetales
Description: partial 16S ribosomal RNA
Rfam family: Bacterial small subunit ribosomal RNA
Source: RNAcentral
GGCGAACGGGUGAGUAACACGUGGGUGAUCCGCCUGCACUCUGGGAUAAGCCUGGGAAACUGGGUCUAAUACCGGAUAGGACCAUGCUUUAGUGUGUGUGGUGGAAAGUUUUUCGGUGUAGGAUGAGCUCGCGGCCUAUCAGCUUGUUGGUGGGGUAAUGGCCUACCAAGGCGGCGACGGGUAGCCGGCCUGAGAGGGUGUACGGCCACAUUGGGACUGAGAUACGGCCCAG